CGAAUGCUGACGUGAGUAACGACAAAACGGGUGAAAAACCCGUUCGCCGAAAGACCAAGGGUUCCAGUCCAACGUUAAUCGGGGCUGGGUGAGUCGACCCCUAAGGCGAGGCCGAAAGGCGUAGUCGAUGGGAAAAUGGUUAAUAUUCCAUUACUUCUGUGUAAUGCGAUGAGAGGACGGAGAAGGCUAAAUCAGCCUGGCGUUGGUUGUCCAGGUGAAAGGAUGUAGGCAUGUAUCUUAGGCAAAUCCGGGGUACUCUAUGCUGAGAUCUGAUAGCAAGCUGUACUUGUACAGCGAAGUGGUUGAUGCCAUGCUUCCAGGAAAAGUCUCUAAGCUUCAGUUACACAGGAAUCGUACCCGAAACCGACACAGGUGGUCAGGUCGAGUAGACCAAGGCGCUUGAGAGAACUCUGCUGAAGGAACUAGGCAAAAUGGUACCGUAACUUCGGGAGAAGGUACGCUGUUGUUGGUGAUGGAACUCGCUUCCUGAGCUGACGACAGCCGCAGAAACCAGGCCGCUGCAACUGUUUAUUAAAAACAUAGCACUCUGCAAACACGAAAGUGGACGUAUAGGGUGUGAUGCCUGCCCGGUGCUGGAAGGUUAAUUGAUGGGGUUAGCGUAAGCGAAGCUCUUGAUCGAAGCCCCAGUAAACGGCGGCCGUAACUAUAACGGUCCUAAGGUAGCGAAAUUCCUUGUCGGGUAAGUUCCGACCUGCACGAAUGGCAUAAUGAUGGCGGCGCUGUCUCCAGCAGAGGCUCAGUGAAAUCGAAAUCGCUGUGAAGAUGCAGUGUACCCGCGGCUAGACGGAAAGACCCCGUGAACCUUUACUGCAGCUUGACACUGAACUUUGACCUUACUUGUGUAGGAUAGGUGGGAGGCUUUGAAGCUGGAACGCUAGUUCCAGUGGAGCCGUCCUUGAAAUACCACCCUGGUAAUGUUGAGGUUCUAACUCUGUCCCGUGAUCCGGGACGAGGACCGUGUCUGGUGGGUAGUUUGACUGGGGCGGUCUCCUCCUAAAGAGUAACGGAGGAGUACGAAGGUGC
This 1044-nucleotide ribosomal RNA is filed under the name Acinetobacter baumannii. RNAcentral's name for it is "partial 23S ribosomal RNA". It matches the Rfam family "Bacterial large subunit ribosomal RNA", at positions 1291 to 2319 of the family's 2925-position model. Lineage: Bacteria; Pseudomonadati; Pseudomonadota; Gammaproteobacteria; Moraxellales; Moraxellaceae. The record is from RNAcentral.